Molecule: ribosomal RNA, 250 nt
Filed under: uncultured bacterium
Lineage: Bacteria
Description: partial 16S ribosomal RNA
Rfam family: Bacterial small subunit ribosomal RNA
Source: RNAcentral
GGAUGAGAAUCAUUCACAAUGGGCGAAAGCCUGAUGGUGUGACGCCGCGUGGAGGAUGAAGGUCUUCGGAUUGUAAACUCCUGUCAAGUGGGGGUAAGGCACUGCGAGGAAAUGCGCGUGUGCUUGAGAGUACCACUAGAGGAAGGGACGGCUAACUUCGUGCCAGCAGCCGCGGUAAUACGAAGGUCCCAAGCGUUGUUCGGAAUCACUGGGCGUAAAGGGUGCGUAGGCUGCGCGGAAAGUCAGAGGU